This 395-nucleotide ribosomal RNA is filed under the name Licmophora paradoxa. RNAcentral's name for it is "partial Bacterial large subunit ribosomal RNA". It matches the Rfam family "Bacterial large subunit ribosomal RNA", at positions 31 to 467 of the family's 2925-position model. The record is from RNAcentral. Lineage: Eukaryota; Bacillariophyta; Fragilariophyceae; Licmophorales; Licmophoraceae.
GCCUUGGCGAUUACAGGCGAUGAAGGACGUGAUAAUCUGCGAAAAGCUUCGGGGAGCUGAUAAAUAAGCUUUGAUCCGGAGAUGUCCGAAUGGGGAAACCCACCCGCAAGGGUAACCGCUCCUGAAUAUAUAGGGAGAUGGUGGCAAACCGAGUGAACUGAAACAUCUAAGUAGCUCGAGGAAAAUAAAUCAACCGAGAUUCCGUAAGUAGUGGCGAGCGAACGCGGAACAGCCUGUUAUUUUUAGCACAUGCGAUAGUAGAACGGAAUGGAAAGUCCGGCCAUAGAGGGUGAUAGCCCCUUAUACGAAAUCCCGUGUGUGGAACUAGGAUAACGACAAGUAGGGCGGGGCACGAGAAACCUUGUCUGAACAUGGGGGGACCAUCCUCCAAGGCU